UACGUAGGGGGCAAGCGUUGUCCGGAUUUAUUGGGCGUAAAGAGCGUGUAGGCGGCUUUGCAAGUCCGUUGUGAAAACUCGAGGCUCAACCUCGAGACGCCGGUGGAAACUGCAAAGCUAGAGUCCGGAAGAGGAGAGUGGAAUUCCUGGUGUAGCGGUGAAAUGCGCAGAUAUCAGGAAGAACACCCGUGGCGAAGGCGGCUCUCUGGUGCGUGACUGACGCUGAGACGCGAAAGCGUGGGGAGCGAACAGG
This 253-nucleotide ribosomal RNA is filed under the name uncultured bacterium. RNAcentral's name for it is "partial 16S ribosomal RNA". It matches the Rfam family "Bacterial small subunit ribosomal RNA", at positions 524 to 776 of the family's 1533-position model. The record is from RNAcentral.